RNAcentral lists this small nuclear RNA (143 nucleotides) under Fukomys damarensis (Damara mole-rat). Its description in RNAcentral is "U2 spliceosomal RNA". It matches the Rfam family "U2 spliceosomal RNA". Rfam says of the family: U2 is a small nuclear RNA (snRNA) component of the spliceosome (involved in pre-mRNA splicing). Complementary binding between U2 snRNA (in an area lying towards the 5' end but 3' to hairpin I) and the branchpoint sequence (BPS) of the intron results the bulging out of an unpaired adenosine, on the BPS, which initiates a nucleophilic attack at the intronic 5' splice site, thus starting the first of two transesterification reactions that mediate splicing. Lineage: Eukaryota; Metazoa; Chordata; Mammalia; Rodentia; Bathyergidae. The record is from Rfam by way of RNAcentral.
AUCGCUUCUCGGCCUUUUGGCUAAGAUCAAGUGUAGUAUCUAACUAAUCCAAGUGGUUCAUACGUCAGGCUGGUCAUAACUUGAGAGUCAUAUAUAUAUAUAAUAUCAAAAUAGAAGAUAGAUAAAGAAGUAGGGAAAUCUUU